RNAcentral lists this ribosomal RNA (547 nucleotides) under uncultured bacterium. RNAcentral's name for it is "bacterial SSU rRNA". It matches the Rfam family "Bacterial small subunit ribosomal RNA", at positions 355 to 896 of the family's 1533-position model. The record is from RNAcentral.
UGGGGAAUAUUGCGCAAUGGGGGGAACCCUGACGCAGCCAUGCCGCGUGAAUGAAGAAGGCCUUAGGGUUGUAAAGUUCUUUCGGUAUUGAGGAAGGUUGAUGUGUUAAUAGCACAUCAAAUUGACGUUAAAUACAGAAGAAGCACCGGCUAACUCCGUGCCAGCAGCCGCGGUAAUGCGGAGGGUGCGAGCGUUAAUCGGAAUAACUGGGCGUAAAGGGCACGCAGGCGGUUAUUUAAGUGAGGUGUGAAAGCCCCGGGCUUAACCUGGGAAUUGCAUUUCAGACUGGGUAACUAGAGUACUUUAGGGAGGGGUAGAAUUCCACGUGUAGCGGUGAAAUGCGUAGAGAUGUGGAGGAAUACCGAAGGCGAAGGCAGCCCCUUGGGAAUGUACUGACGCUCAUGUGCGAAAGCGUGGGGAGCAAACAGGAUUAGAUACCCUGGUAGUCCACGCUGUAAACGCUGUCGAUUUGGGGGUUGGGGUUUAACUCUGGCGCCCGUAGCUAACGUGAUAAAUCGACCGCCUGGGGAGUACGGCCGCAAGGUUA